GAGUUUGAUCGUGGCUCAGAUUGAACGCUGGCGGCAUGCCUUACACAUGCAAGUCGAACGGCAGCAUGAUCUAGCUUGCUAGAUUGAUGGCGAGUGGCGAACGGGUGAGUAAUACAUCGGAACGUGCCCUGUAGUGGGGGAUAACUAGUCGAAAGAUUAGCUAAUACCGCAUACGACCUGAGGGUGAAAGUGGGGGACCGCAAGGCCUCAUGCUAUAGGAGCGGCCGAUGUCUGAUUAGCUAGUUGGUGGGGUAAAGGCCCACCAAGGCGACGAUCAGUAGCUGGUCUGAGAGGACGAUCAGCCACACUGGGACUGAGACACGGCCCAGACUCCUACGGGAGGCAGCAGUGGGGAAUUUUGGACAAUGGGGGCAACCCUGAUCCAGCAAUGCCGCGUGUGUGAAGAAGGCCUCGGUU
This 417-nucleotide ribosomal RNA is filed under the name uncultured microorganism. RNAcentral describes it as "bacterial SSU rRNA". It matches the Rfam family "Bacterial small subunit ribosomal RNA", at positions 9 to 424 of the family's 1533-position model. The record is from RNAcentral.